Molecule: non-coding RNA, 21 nt
Organism: Caenorhabditis elegans
Lineage: Eukaryota; Metazoa; Nematoda; Chromadorea; Rhabditida; Rhabditidae
Source: Ensembl
CGUACUCUGUGCUCAAAUUUA